CUCGCAGCUACCAUGCAAGUCGAGCGGGGUUUUCGGACCUAGCGGCGGACGGGUGAGUAAUGCGUAGGAAGCUGCCCGAUAGAGGGGGAUACCAGUUGGAAACGACUGUUAAUACCGCAUAAUGUCUACGGACCAAAGUGUGGGACCUUCGGGCCACAUGCUAUCGGAUGCGCCUACGUGGGAUUAGCUAGUUGGUGAGGUAAUGGCUCACCAAGGCGACGAUCUCUAGCUGGUUUGAGAGGAUGAUCAGCCACACUGGAACUGAGACACGGUCCAGACUCCUACGGGAGGCAGCAGUGGGGAAUAUUGGACAAUGGGCGCAAGCCUGAUCCAGCCAUGCCGCGUGUGUGAAGAAGGCCUUCGGGUUGUAAAGCACUUUCAGCGAGGAGGAAGGGAUGUAUGUUAAUAGCAUGCAUUUUUGACGUUACUCGCAGAAGAAGCACCGGCUAACUCUGUGCCAGCAGCCGCGGUAAUACAGAGGGUGCAAGCGUUAAUCGGAAUUACUGGGCGUAAAGCGCACGUAGGCGGUUUUUUAAGUCAGAUGUGAAAGCCCCGGGCUCAACCUGGGAAUUGCAUUUGAAACUGGGGAACUAGAGUGUGUGAGAGGGGGGUAGAAUUCCAAGUGUAGCGGUGAAAUGCGUAGAGAUUUGGAGGAAUACCAGUGGCGAAGGCGGCCCCCUGGCACAACACUGACGCUCAGGUGCGAAAGCGUGGGGAGCAAACAGGAUUAGAUACCCUGGUAGUCCACGCCGUAAACGAUGUCUACUAGCUGUUCGUGUCCUUGUGAUGUGAGUAGCGCAGCUAACGCACUAAGUAGACCGCCUGGGGAGUACGGUCGCAAGAUUAAAACUCAAAUGAAUUGACGGGGGCCCGCACAAGCGGUGGAGCAUGUGGUUUAAUUCGACGCAACGCGAAGA
Molecule: ribosomal RNA, 917 nt
Filed under: uncultured prokaryote
Description: bacterial SSU rRNA
Rfam family: Bacterial small subunit ribosomal RNA
Source: RNAcentral